UACAGAGGGGGCAAGCGUUGUUCGGAAUUACUGGGCGUAAAGGGCGCGUAGGCGGCCUUAUAAGUCGGACGUGAAAUCCCCGGGCUCAACCCGGGAACUGCGUCCGAUACUGGAAGGCUUGAAUCCGGGAGAGGGAUGCGGAAUUCCAGGUGUAGCGGUGAAAUGCGUAGAUAUCUGGAGGAAUACCGGUGGCGAAGGCGGCAUCCUGGACCGACAUUGACGCUGAUGAGCGAAAGCUAGGGGAGCAAACGGG
This 253-nucleotide ribosomal RNA is filed under the name uncultured bacterium. RNAcentral describes it as "partial 16S ribosomal RNA". It matches the Rfam family "Bacterial small subunit ribosomal RNA", at positions 524 to 776 of the family's 1533-position model. The record is from RNAcentral.